Molecule: transfer RNA, 72 nt
Filed under: Camelus bactrianus (Bactrian camel)
Lineage: Eukaryota; Metazoa; Chordata; Mammalia; Artiodactyla; Camelidae
Also listed under: 2 other names
Rfam family: tRNA
About the family: Transfer RNA (tRNA) molecules are approximately 80 nucleotides in length. Their secondary structure includes four short double-helical elements and three loops (D, anti-codon, and T loops). Further hydrogen bonds mediate the characteristic L-shaped molecular structure. tRNAs have two regions of fundamental functional importance: the anti-codon, which is responsible for specific mRNA codon recognition, and the 3' end, to which the tRNAs corresponding amino acid is attached (by aminoacyl-tRNA synthetases). tRNAs cope with the degeneracy of the genetic code in two manners: having more than one tRNA (with a specific anti-codon) for a particular amino acid; and 'wobble' base-pairing, i.e. permitting non-standard base-pairing at the 3rd anti-codon position.
Source: Rfam by way of RNAcentral
AAGGGUAUAGCUCAGUGGUACAGUGCUUGUUUAGCAUGCAUGAGGUCCUGGGUUCAAUCCUCAAUACCUCCA